GACGAACGCUGGCGGCGUGCUUAACACAUGCAAGUCGAACGGAAAGGCCCUGCUUUUGUGGGGUGCUCGAGUGGCGAACGGGUGAGUAACACGUGAGUAACCUGCCCUUGACUUUGGGAUAACUUCAGGAAACUGGGGCUAAUACCGGAUAGGAGCUCCUGCUGCAUGGUGGGGGUUGGAAAGUUUCGGCGGUUGGGGAUGGACUCGCGGCUUAUCAGCUUGUUGGUGGGGUAGUGGCUUACCAAGGCUUUGACGGGUAGCCGGCCUGAGAGGGUGACCGGCCACAUUGGGACUGAGAUACGGCCCAGACUCCUACGGGGGGCAGCAGUUGGGAAUAUUGCACAAUGGGCGGAAGCCUGAUGCCGCAACGCCGCGUGCGGGAUGACGGCCUUCGGGUUGUAAACCGCUUUCGCCUGUGACGAAGCGUGAGUGACGGUAAUGGGUAAAGAAGCACCGGCUAACUACGUG
This 468-nucleotide ribosomal RNA is filed under the name uncultured bacterium. RNAcentral's name for it is "partial 16S ribosomal RNA". It matches the Rfam family "Bacterial small subunit ribosomal RNA", at positions 28 to 507 of the family's 1533-position model. The record is from RNAcentral.